GCAGCCGCGGUAAUACGUAGGUUGCAAGCGUUGUCCGGAUUUACUGGGUGUAAAGGGCGUGUAGGCGGAGAUGCAAGUUGGGAGUGAAAUCCCGGGGCUCAACCCCGGAACUGCUUUCAAAACUGCAUCCCUUGAGUAUCGGAGAGGCAAGCGGAAUUCCUAGUGUAGCGGUGAAAUGCGUAGAUAUUAGGAGGAACACCAGUGGCGAAGGCGGCUUGCUGGACGACAACUGACGCUGAGGCGCGAAAGCGUGGGGAGCAAACAGGAUUAGAUACCCG
This 278-nucleotide ribosomal RNA is filed under the name uncultured Oscillospiraceae bacterium. RNAcentral describes it as "partial 16S ribosomal RNA". It matches the Rfam family "Bacterial small subunit ribosomal RNA", at positions 511 to 788 of the family's 1533-position model. Lineage: Bacteria; Bacillati; Bacillota; Clostridia; Eubacteriales; Oscillospiraceae. The record is from RNAcentral.